Molecule: long non-coding RNA, 874 nt
Filed under: Salvia miltiorrhiza (redroot sage)
Lineage: Eukaryota; Viridiplantae; Streptophyta; Magnoliopsida; Lamiales; Lamiaceae
Description: long non-coding RNA (SMIL_LNC008783)
Source: RNAcentral
GCCGCACACCUCACGCACACACACCUUCACUCUCAUUUCUUCUUCUCCCCAAAUCACUCUCUCACGGUUCCUUCAAAACCACCGCACAGCCUCUUCCGGCGGCCGCACGGCCGCUGCCCUCAUCUCCCUCAGAAAUCCGCCGUUGGCGGAAACUCGCCGAAGGAACAACGCCGACAAGCCGCUGCCACCAGCUCCCUCUGAUCUCUCUCUCUCUCAACUGAUCGUUCCUCCCUCUCAACUGUUCUUUCAUCUCUCCUCUGUCUCUCGGCCAUCAGUUCCGCCGCCGCGGCUUCGUCUCCGGCGAAGGGCGUCAUCUCUGGUCACUUCUCCCUUGAAUCCCCCUGUCACUCCCCCUGCUCUCUCUUUCUCCCUUGGCGACGACGAGCGCCGCCGCCUCCCUCGGUCUCUCUCUCUCGGCGACAGCAGCAGCCGGAGCCGCCCGCAGCCUCCUCUCUUCUCUCCCUCCGGCCGACAGCAGUAGAUGGAGCAAACUGCCGCCGCCGUCGUCCUCCGCUCAGCCCUCCACCCAGACCAGCUCCGACCAGCCCACCUCCUUCUCUCCAACCGUGGCCGGGCAGCAGCGGCACAGCCGCCGUGCCCUGCCUCCCUCGACCUCUCGACUCAGUUCACACAAACACAACGCUCAUCCUCCUCGACUCAACAGACCCAACCAGACACUCCAACAUUUGGACUCGGCAAUCAAAAACAGCUCAAGUACUUUUUCUUUAUUCUUUUUAAUAAGUAUGCUUCAUAUAUGUAGAAACACAGAUUGUAUGCUCAUGUAUACGGGAAUGCCAUUUUGUUUCAAAAUCUUGAUACACGAAAUCUGAAUUUGCUAUAUGGGAAAAUUAGUUGCUGGAAAUGCGUAGUGUGU